Molecule: ribosomal RNA, 394 nt
Filed under: uncultured Lactobacillus sp.
Lineage: Bacteria; Bacillati; Bacillota; Bacilli; Lactobacillales; Lactobacillaceae
Description: bacterial SSU rRNA
Rfam family: Bacterial small subunit ribosomal RNA
Source: RNAcentral
AAACAGGUAGCUAAUACCGGAUAAGAAAGCAGAUCGCAUGAUCAAGCUUUUAAAAGGCGGCGUAAGCUGUCGCUAUGGGGAUGGCCCGCGGUGCAUUAGCUAGUUGGUAAGGUAAAGGGCUUACCAAGGCGAUGAUGCAUAGCCCGAGUUGAGAGACUGAUCGGCCACAUUGGGGACUGAGACACGGGCCCAAACUCCUACGGGAGGCAGCAGUAGGGAAUCUUCCACAAUGGACGCAAGUCUGAUGGAGCAAACGCCGCGUGGGUGAAGAAGGUUUUCGGAUCGUAAAGCUCUGUUGUUGGUGAAGAAGGAUAGAGGUAGUAACUGGCCCUUUAUUUGACGGUAAUCAACCAGAAAGUCACGGGCUAACUACGUGCCAGCAGCCGCGGUAAAU